Molecule: ribosomal RNA, 374 nt
Filed under: Metaphire servina
Lineage: Eukaryota; Metazoa; Annelida; Clitellata; Crassiclitellata; Megascolecidae
Description: partial 16S ribosomal RNA
Rfam family: Bacterial large subunit ribosomal RNA
Source: RNAcentral
AACGGCCGCGGUAUCCUAACCGUGCAAAGGUAGCAUAAUCAUUUGCCCAUUAAUUGUGGGCUAGUAUGAAGGGGUUAACGAAAUAAAAACUGUCUCAAUUAAUCACCUAAAAACUAUUCUUUACUUGAAGAAAAGUAAAUUCACUCGAAGGACAAGAAGACCCUAUAGAGCUUAAUUUUAUUUAUAGAUCAAACUAUAAAAAUAUUCGGUUGGGGCGACCCAGGGCUAAUAAAUCACCCACAAAAAAAAAGAUACAUAAAUCAAAUAAAUGACCCUCAUAGAUCAAAAGACCAAGCUACCUUAGGGAUAACAGGCUAAUCCCACUUAAGAGUCCUUAUCAACAGUGGGGUUUGGCACCUCGAUGUUGGCUUAGG